This 1646-nucleotide long non-coding RNA is filed under the name Coturnix japonica (Japanese quail). RNAcentral's name for it is "lncRNA (ENSCJPG00005005695.1)". The record is from RNAcentral. Lineage: Eukaryota; Metazoa; Chordata; Aves; Galliformes; Phasianidae.
AACCAUCUCCUCCUAACAUCUAGCCUAAGUCUUCCCUAUUUCGGUUUAAAAGUAUUACUUUUCGGAAAGAGUAGUCAGGCAUUGGAAUGCACUGCCCAGGGAGGUGGUGGAGUCACCGACCACAGGAGUGUUCAAGAAACGCUUGGAUGUGGUGCUGAGGAAUAUGAUUUAGCCAGGAAGUAUUGGUAAUGGUUGGACUAGAUGAUCUUCUAGGUCUUUUCCAACCUUGAUAAUUCUGUGAUUCUGUGACUCUGUGAAAAGCAUCCUGCCUUGUUCUAUCACUAUAAGACGGUGUAAAAAGUCGAUCUCCCUCCUGUUUAUAAGCUCCCUUUAACAGCAACGCCAUAAGAACGCACAGACAUUUCGGUUGUAACCCGACUUGGUCACCCCGUUGGUGCCAGCAGCGGCCCGCAGAGCUCUGCUCUCCCUUACAAGCAGGAACGGCGGCGGGCUGCCAACCGCAGGACACGGCGCCGCAGGGACCGCGUGGGCUGCAGCGGCCGGCAGUGCGAUAUUUAUGUUAUCUUCAUUACUGAAGUGGAAAGGUUGGAUAUACAGGUAUGUAUGGAGGACUGCUUACACAGGAAGUACAUCCUGGGAACAUAGAGACUGUACUAACUUCUGUUAUAGCAAUGGUUCCCAUUAGUAAUAGCAUGAGAAAAAUCUCAGGUACCUGAUCAUAUUUUAAGAGUUAUUUGUGUCAUAUGGUCUGCUGUGAUUUUAGUUACCUGGUAAAAAUGUACUUUUUUCUCAGACUUUGAGAAUGUCUUACAACCAUAACAUCCUUAGCGUCACCUAGUGUAACUCAGAUGGGCUCAGUGCACCUACAUAAAUUUAUAUGAAAUAACGAUGUGACCCCAUGAAAGAAAGGAUAUGAGCAGCUUUGAACUUGUUAAAAUCAAAAUUUUAUAUAAAUUAGUCUAGAUUUGCCCUCACAGGAGGAGAUAACACUUUCAUCCUCUGCUGAAAUUCAGUUUCUUUCUGCUCUUUAUAGAAAUCUUACCUCAAGGGUGAGCUCGCCUCACAACGUGCACAUAUCAGUGUCUUCUCCUCCAGUUUACUAAUUUAACAGCUCAUGAAUCAGACUGCACUGCUCAGCACUCCAUUGUGCUUCUGAUAAUUAAUCAGAUAUGGCUCUAAUUAAUGAUUUUCAGCAGAAUUUAACUGUGGUCAUCUGUAACGUCAUGUGUUAUUGAUGUAUUUUAGGAAUAUAAGCAAUAGGAAAAGAACUUGUAGGAUUUUUUAAUGAGAAUUAUAACCGUUUUUUCCAUCAUAUAAUCUAUUGCAUUGCUUAAGUGAGGCUUCCUCGUUUGAAGCUAUCUGCGCGUCUAUGCACAGCUGCAUGGUGUGCCAUAUUGUUUUCUAUGGUGCAGGCAGUACCAUAGCAGCUACCGUGUAGUAAGAAGGCAUCUGUUUGGCAAAGGUUACUGGGACUAUCUCAGGGCGGAGCAUGUGCAGCUCUGAAUCAGAAGAGUUCACCAGGUGCCAGACAGCUGCUGCAGGAAAUGCAAACCUGGUAAUUGUCUUCUUUGAGCCCUAUUCUUGGAGUCAUCCCAUUUGUCAUUAAAAGCAAAACCUUCACGCUGUCUGUUCAGAGCUGUGCUUGUUUCUAUUAUUUUUGAGUUUUGAAGAUAUCAAAGAUGACA